This 221-nucleotide unclassified non-coding RNA is filed under the name fungal sp. RNAcentral's name for it is "partial internal transcribed spacer region". The stretch from base 1 to 46 matches the Rfam family "Eukaryotic small subunit ribosomal RNA", at positions 1786 to 1831 of the family's 1831-position model. Lineage: Eukaryota; Fungi. The record is from RNAcentral.
AAGUCGUAACAAGGUUUCCGUAGGUGAACCUGCGGAAGGAUCAUUACUGGGUUUUGAGUUUGUAUGAACUCGUCCACCCACCCUUUGUCAUUUGCAAAUGAUCUCUUCGGUCGUUUGUUCACUCAAACGACCGGCAUUGCAAAACUCUUUGUUGUAAAAAUGAGGUCUGUCUUUUUUUUAUUGAAUUAAAAAAACUUUCAACAACGGAUCUCUUGGUUCUG